RNAcentral lists this ribosomal RNA (292 nucleotides) under uncultured bacterium. RNAcentral's name for it is "partial 16S ribosomal RNA". It matches the Rfam family "Bacterial small subunit ribosomal RNA", at positions 505 to 796 of the family's 1533-position model. The record is from RNAcentral.
GUGCCAGCCGCCGCGGUAAUACGGAGGGGGCUAGCGUUGUUCGGAAUUACUGGGCGUAAAGCGCACGUAGGCGGAUCAGAAAGUUGGGGGUGAAAUCCCGGGGCUCAACCCCGGAACUGCCUCCAAAACUACUGGUCUAGAGUUCGAGAGAGGUGAGUGGAAUUCCGAGUGUAGAGGUGAAAUUCGUAGAUAUUCGGAGGAACACCAGUGGCGAAGGCGGCUCACUGGCUCGAUACUGACGCUGAGGUGCGAAAGUGUGGGGAGCAAACAGGAUUAGAUACCCGGGUAGUCC